CAGCCGCCGCGGGAAUACGUAGGUCCCGAGCGUUGUCCGGAUUUAUUGGGCGUAAAGGGCUCGCAGGCGGUUUCUUAAGUCUGAUGUGAAAGCCCCCGGCUCAACCGGGGAGGGUCAUUGGAAACUGGGAAACUUGAGUGCAGAAGAGGAGAGUGGAAUUCCACGUGUAGCGGUGAAAUGCGUAGAGAUGUGGAGGAACACCAGUGGCGAAGGCGACUCUCUGGUCUGUAACUGACGCUGAGGAGCGAAAGCGUGGGGAGCGAACAGGAUUAGAUACCCGGGUAGUCCCUGUCUCUUAUAC
RNAcentral lists this ribosomal RNA (301 nucleotides) under uncultured bacterium. RNAcentral's name for it is "partial 16S ribosomal RNA". It matches the Rfam family "Bacterial small subunit ribosomal RNA", at positions 509 to 807 of the family's 1533-position model. The record is from RNAcentral.